This is a long non-coding RNA of Malaya genurostris, 1387 nucleotides long. RefSeq lists it as uncharacterized. Lineage: Eukaryota; Metazoa; Arthropoda; Insecta; Diptera; Culicidae. The transcript is spliced from 2 exons. The record is from RefSeq and is a predicted model, not a curated record.
GGCAACCAGCGUCUGACGAAAGCCUUUCAUCAAGUCUUAUGCUUCGAUAGAAAACAGAAAACCUUGUUUUCCUUUGUAGCAGUCAUACCUUAUUCAGCAAUAAGUUUCAAGCAUCCAGUAGAUCGAUUUCAAUAAUUGCGCCAACAGUUAUACAACCUAUCGUUGGCCAACUUUUGCACAACACCCUAAUCAAAUUUUCCCCUCAUUUAAGUUGAAUAAUUCGUUGAGUCUCUCCUUGGAGUGAAAUUCACGAAGAUUCCUCGCGAAUAAUGUAUGAUGGAGGGGAGGGAUGGCGCCAAGGAUUGGUUAACCGAAUAAAACAGUCAGUGGGGUCAUUGAUCGCCGAAUUUGUCCGAUGAAAUUAGCGGGACAAUACGUAUUUCCGGUGAAUUCGUACGAAAUUACCUUCCCUAAUCUGAGGAUUUCCAAUGCUAGUUUAUUUCGUCCCAGUCCGCCAAACUUAGUGGAAGCUUCGCGUAGUUGUCCGGUGUUAGUUUCAGAUAGGUAAUAAAGUGACGUAUUCUUACGUAAAGUUUCCAUAAAUAUUUGUCUCUCUCCUUUGCCUAGAUUGCUAAUAUAGUAGUGAUUGCCACGAUAAGUAGUGCGUGUAGAGAAUAGUGCGUGCGAAGUAAAACAAGAAUCAGCCAGACGGCAUUCGUUUCUUUUAUCUAUUCUGCGCAGCUACGACGAAAGAGAGGAAGGAAGGAAGCAAGCACCGGACGCGGGCCAAAGUCCACCAACGGACGAAAAUUCAAACUCCGGCAACCGUUACACCGCCGGAAAAGUUCGGUCCGUCAACUGACCGUUAGUAGCAGCCAGCGAACGUCGGCCAGAAUCGGUGUGGUAGAUCACCGGUUACGUGAGUACCCGGAAUCGUCAUCACCGCCAUCACCAAUAAAACGACGAUCGACCCAGCAUCCACCACCAACAGUAAGCAGCAGACGCAGAAACCACUGGUGAGUCCGUAUCGUUCUUGCUAAAUAGUGGGGCGGCGUCCACUGAAGACGCCCCCGUGAUUCAGAACCGUUUAAGUGCACUAUAAUUAAAAAUCUCGUUUAAAAACGGAAGUAGGGACGCGUCCAUAAAUUGAGGGUUGUGUGUCGGCCAUCAUGCUUUUGUGACACCAUUUUUGAACGCCACACACAACCCAUUGUAUUAGUCACCCGGGUGCGAAGCACAUCUCAUUGCUGGAGCCGUGGAGUGACGUCAUCGUCUGAGAAAGUGGGAGAGGAAAGCACAAAUGGUCAAUGAGCACAAGUAGGGAGAGAAAUCACGCACGCACAUAGGAGCUAGGCUAGAUAGGAAAUUAGAAAAGCUAAUAUAGACAUGCAAUAUAAAGUCAAACCGUUUUUCCGUUAAUAAAUGAUUAUUUAUUUCAAUGCCUAAA